RNAcentral lists this ribosomal RNA (608 nucleotides) under Meyerozyma guilliermondii. RNAcentral describes it as "eukaryotic LSU rRNA". The stretch from base 229 to 382 matches the Rfam family "5.8S ribosomal RNA". Lineage: Eukaryota; Fungi; Ascomycota; Pichiomycetes; Serinales; Debaryomycetaceae. The record is from RNAcentral.
CCUUUGGAAGAAAAAAUCGUAACAAGGUUUCCGUAGGUGAACCUGCGGAAGGAUCAUUACAGUAUUCUUUUGCCAGCGCUUAACUGCGCGGCGAAAAACCUUACACACAGUGUCUUUUUGAUACAGAACUCUUGCUUUGGUUUGGCCUAGAGAUAGGUUGGGCCAGAGGUUUAACAAAACACAAUUUAAUUAUUUUUACAGUUAGUCAACUUUUGAAUUAAUCUUCAAAACUUUCAACAACGGAUCUCUUGGUUCUCGCAUCGAUGAAGAACGCAGCGAAAUGCGAUAAGUAAUAUGAAUUGCAGAUUUUCGUGAAUCAUCGAAUCUUUGAACGCACAUUGCGCCCUCUGGUAUUCCAGAGGGCAUGCCUGUUUGAGCGUCAUUUCUCUCUCAAACCCCCGGGUUUGGUAUUGAGUGAUACUCUUAGUCGGACUAGGCGUUUGCUUGAAAAGUAUUGGCAUGGGUAGUACUGGAUAGUGCUGUCGACCUCUCAAUGUAUUAGGUUUAUCCAACUCGUUGAAUGGUGUGGCGGGAUAUUUCUGGUAUUGUUGGCCCGGCCUUACAACAACCAAACAAGUUGACCUCAAAUCAGGUAGGAAAACCCCAGU